Molecule: transfer RNA, 65 nt
Filed under: Dipodomys ordii (Ord's kangaroo rat)
Lineage: Eukaryota; Metazoa; Chordata; Mammalia; Rodentia; Heteromyidae
Rfam family: tRNA
About the family: Transfer RNA (tRNA) molecules are approximately 80 nucleotides in length. Their secondary structure includes four short double-helical elements and three loops (D, anti-codon, and T loops). Further hydrogen bonds mediate the characteristic L-shaped molecular structure. tRNAs have two regions of fundamental functional importance: the anti-codon, which is responsible for specific mRNA codon recognition, and the 3' end, to which the tRNAs corresponding amino acid is attached (by aminoacyl-tRNA synthetases). tRNAs cope with the degeneracy of the genetic code in two manners: having more than one tRNA (with a specific anti-codon) for a particular amino acid; and 'wobble' base-pairing, i.e. permitting non-standard base-pairing at the 3rd anti-codon position.
Source: Rfam by way of RNAcentral
GGUGGCUCAGUGGUAGAGCAUCUGCCUUGCAUGCAUGAGGCCCUGGGUUCGAUUCCCCAGCACCA